RNAcentral lists this ribosomal RNA (484 nucleotides) under uncultured bacterium. Its description in RNAcentral is "partial 16S ribosomal RNA". It matches the Rfam family "Bacterial small subunit ribosomal RNA", at positions 30 to 507 of the family's 1533-position model. The record is from RNAcentral.
AUUGAACGCUGGCGGCAGGCCUAACACAUGCAAGUCGAGCGGAUGAAGGGAGCUUGCUCCUGGAUUCAGCGGCGGACGGGUGAGUAAUGCCUAGGAAUCUGCCUGGUAGUGGGGGAUAACGUCCGGAAACGGGCGCUAAUACCGCAUACGUCCUGAGGGAGAAAGUGGGGGAUCCUCGGACCUCACGCUAUCAGAUGAGCCUAGGUCGGAUUAGCUAGUUGGUGGGGUAAAGGCCUACCAAGGCGACGAUCCGUAACUGGUCUGAGAGGAUGAUCAGUCACACUGGAACUGAGACACGGUCCAGACUCCUACGGGAGGCAGCAGUGGGGAAUAUUGGACAAUGGGCGAAAGCCUGAUCCAGCCAUGCCGCGUGUGUGAAGAAGGUCUUCGGAUUGUAAAGCACUUUAAGUUGGGAGGAAGGGCAGUAAGUUAAUACCUUGCUGUUUUGACGUUACCAACAGAAUAAGCGCCGGCUAACUUCGUG